Molecule: ribosomal RNA, 204 nt
Filed under: uncultured Staphylococcus sp.
Lineage: Bacteria; Bacillati; Bacillota; Bacilli; Caryophanales; Staphylococcaceae
Description: partial 16S ribosomal RNA
Rfam family: Bacterial small subunit ribosomal RNA
Source: RNAcentral
CUGGGAUAACUUCGGGAAACCGGAGCUAAUACCGGAUAAUAUAUUGAACCGCAUGGUUCAAUAGUGUAAAGACGGUUUUGCUGUCACUUUAUAGAUGGAUCCGCGCCGCAUUAGCUAGUUGGUAAGGUAACGGCUUACCAAGGCAACGAUGCAUAGCCGACCUGAGAGGGUGAUCGGCCACACUGGAACUGAGACACGGUCCAG